CGUCAAGUCCUCAUGGCCUUUAUGACCAGGGCUGCACACGUCCUACAAUGGCGCGUACAAAGGGAAGCAACCUCGUGAGAGCAAGCAAAUCCCAAAAAACGCGCCCCAGUUCGGAUUGCAGGCUGCAACUCGCCUGCAUGAAGCCGGAAUCGCUAGUAAUCGCGGGUCAGCAUACCGCGGUGAAUAUGUUCCCGAGCCUU
RNAcentral lists this ribosomal RNA (200 nucleotides) under uncultured organism. RNAcentral's name for it is "partial small subunit ribosomal RNA". It matches the Rfam family "Bacterial small subunit ribosomal RNA", at positions 1183 to 1382 of the family's 1533-position model. The record is from RNAcentral.